GAAAUGCGAUAAGUAAUGUGAAUUGCAGAAUUCCGUGAAUCAUUAAAUCUUUGAACGCACAUUGCGCUUUGUGGUAUUCCGCAGAGCAUGUCUGUUUGAGAAUCAGUAAAACUCUCACUCGCAAUUCUGUCACCGGGACUGUGAGUGGAUUUGAGACUGUGCUGGCGCAAGCUAGCAAGACUCUAAAUACAAGUUUGGCCUAUUGUAUGCACACCUCGAUGUGAAGCAGACGUUUGAAGGCAUGACCCAAUGAGCCUGUGUUCACGCACGGUUCUUUUGAUUGCUGACAAGAACGUCUAGGAAGCAGCGAGCGAACUACAGCUGGAUUCAAAACCUUACUUCACGAAGUACUCUUGCCGCACAGCAGAGCGCUUUAAGACUUUGAUCUCAAAUCAGACAA
This 400-nucleotide unclassified non-coding RNA is filed under the name uncultured fungus. Its description in RNAcentral is "sequence contains ITS1". The stretch from base 1 to 105 matches the Rfam family "5.8S ribosomal RNA", at positions 50 to 154 of the family's 154-position model. Lineage: Eukaryota; Fungi. The record is from RNAcentral.